Molecule: transfer RNA, 65 nt
Filed under: Photinus signaticollis
Lineage: Eukaryota; Metazoa; Arthropoda; Insecta; Coleoptera; Lampyridae
Description: tRNA-Ala
Source: RNAcentral
AGGAUAAUAGUUAAAUUUAACAUUUAAUUUGCAUUUAAAAAAUACUGAUUAUUCAGUUUGUCUUA